UGCCAAAGGAGAUUUGCUCAC
This 21-nucleotide microRNA is filed under the name Populus trichocarpa (black cottonwood). Its description in RNAcentral is "ptc-miR399c". Its record names the gene ptc-miR399c. The record is from miRBase by way of RNAcentral. Lineage: Eukaryota; Viridiplantae; Streptophyta; Magnoliopsida; Malpighiales; Salicaceae. RNAcentral also lists the same sequence under 2 other names.